UGAUGGCGAGUGGCGAACGGGUGAGUAAUACAUCGGAACGUGUCCGUUUGUGGGGGACAACCGUCCGAAAGGAUGGCUAAUACCGCAUAAGACCUGAGGGUGAAAGCCGGGGACCGCAAGGCCCGGCGCAGACGGAGCGGCCGAUGAUUGAUUAGCUAGUUGGGGAGGUAAAGGCUCACCAAGGCGACGAUCAAUAGCUGGUCUGAGAGGACGACCAGCCACACUGGAACUGAGACACGGUCCAGACUCC
RNAcentral lists this ribosomal RNA (250 nucleotides) under uncultured Sutterella sp. Its description in RNAcentral is "partial 16S ribosomal RNA". It matches the Rfam family "Bacterial small subunit ribosomal RNA", at positions 86 to 339 of the family's 1533-position model. Lineage: Bacteria; Pseudomonadati; Pseudomonadota; Betaproteobacteria; Burkholderiales; Sutterellaceae. The record is from RNAcentral.